Uranotaenia lowii is the source of this 1868-nucleotide RNA transcript. RefSeq lists it as uncharacterized. NCBI's taxonomy places the organism in Eukaryota, Metazoa, Arthropoda, Insecta, Diptera, Culicidae. The transcript is spliced from 5 exons. The record is from RefSeq and is a predicted model, not a curated record.
GUUGGCGCCUUGAAACCCAAAAAAACUCGGCCGCCGGUUCGCCACGAUUUGGAUAGCCCUUGUAGCAAUUCCGGCUAAUUAAGUUAGGUUAUUUGCACUACCAGAGCUAUGAGUGCCUAGAUUACAAAGACUGGUAGGCUGGGAUGUGCGACCAAAUCGUUCAAACGUUACUCCGAAUGCCAACUCCAUGCUGUAGACCUUGUAUGUUACCGGCACUCAGUCAACGCAUCUGGAUCGGAACAAGUACGAAGCUUUUCUCGCUUCCGACGUCCUGCUAUUAUUAUACAUCAGUCAUCACACGAAUUACCGGAGCAUUCUGCGUUACUCACAAUCCUAUUUGAAAUGCCUUUCCCGCAAUAUUCCGAAUCAAAAAGAAACGCCAUUUGAGAUAAAAUACCUCAUCUAGUCCCGAAAGAUAGAGGAAAAUACGCGUACGGAAUUGACCAAAGUCAAUGUUAUGAACACAGUAAAACAAAAUCGAUAUCAAAACAUUUGUCAUUUGUCUGACGUUUUGUAGAACGGCUGCGUGCAUUUUGCAGGAUGUCAUAGUCAGUACUAAAAUUUAUAAGAACACUUGCAGGAUGGCAACGAUCAGUACUAAAUAUAUUAACAACGCUUGGAGGAUGGUGUGGAUUUUUGGGUUAAUUCAUCCUGCAAACAAGCUAAAUCCGAGCUGCGCUGAGCAAGCGUGUACAUUUUUCAACACGGUUUAGUACAUAUACACGUCAUCCUGCAUGCGGUGACAGCUGCUGAUGGUCAUUUUGUUUUUCAACAAAAUGUUUUGCUUCGCAUACACACUGGCUGCUGAAAUUUGAAUGCUUUCAAAUUUUUCUGCUCCCGUGAUGGAUUUUCUGCAUCGGGUUGUGCAGGUGGUAAAAACUCAGCCCUUCAGGUCUGAGCCCUUAUUAUUCAGCCUUUCGAUGCGAUUCAAACGAUGUGUGGGUGCCGGGAUCAAAUCUUCGGAUAUCGUGCAUCAGCUACAAUAUUUUAUUCAGCUUUCGGUACGAGUCUCAGGUGACACGGUGCUGAACGCUGCGUGGCGAUGGGUGAUGAAUAAAACAAAUAUGCACUGGUGAAGGCCCAAUUGGAAAUGCACUUUCAAACACUAAGUGCAUCUAAUCAGAUGAAAUGUUUAGGUUCUGGUCAGCUGAAUUACAAUCCGGAUUUUCUCGAUUUUGAAAGAAUGCCUGCCGAAAGCACGCAGCUCCUUGCAUCCUACAUCAUCCAUAGGAUAAGAGGAGAUCCAAUAAUGGAUCGCAUGAUAGCGCCGGUCCGCAGGAAUCGACCGAAUAGUUUACCAGAGGAACACAAGGAACCUUGCAUAGCAAAACGAAGAUCAGCAACAUGCCAAAGGAGCUUCGUGGAUGACACUAUCGCGAAAUCACCUGCCGGUAGGAUUCACAACAAACCCCAAAUAAACGGUUAGGAAGAUGAGCGUCCGCUGUACCAAACCGGCCUACCAUGUAUUGGAAAACCUAAACAAAAUUGAAGAAAAAAAGAAUGCACGGAUCGUCGCGAUAGCCUUUAAAGGGCACGCCUCCAGAGCAGUGCAUAAGUGUCAUCUAAGAAUUCCUGUAUCAGAUAUUCUAGGACGAUGGAAACCUUGUUCAUGCAUUCCAAAGGAUGCUGAUGGUACCCCGUACCCACCGGCUUAUGAUAUGCAUACUGCUAAUCCCUUUCUGGAGCAUCAACUUGAGACUGGCUGCCACGACGCCGGAACGCUAAGGAAUAGUUUAUUGAAUUGAACUUAAUGCAGUUUAUUGUUUUAAUGGAAACGAAAAAAACAAAUCUUUUCAAAACGAAAGCCUCAAAACCGCCCUAAAGUAAUAAAAAGUUGCUUACAAAUUGUAUUAAAAUAACUUACUGCU